This 436-nucleotide ribosomal RNA is filed under the name uncultured Butyricicoccus sp. Its description in RNAcentral is "partial 16S ribosomal RNA". It matches the Rfam family "Bacterial small subunit ribosomal RNA", at positions 341 to 792 of the family's 1533-position model. Lineage: Bacteria; Bacillati; Bacillota; Clostridia; Eubacteriales; Butyricicoccaceae. The record is from RNAcentral.
ACGGAAGGCAGCAGUGGGGAAUAUUGCGCAAUGGGGGCAACCCUGACGCAGCAACGCCGCGUGAUUGAUGAAGGUCUUCGGAUUGUAAAAAUCUUUUAUCAGAGACGAAGAAGUGACGGUAUCUGAUGAAUAAGCUCCGGCUAACUACGUGCCAGCAGCCGCGGUAAUACGUAGGGAGCGAGCGUUAUCCGGAUUUACUGGGUGUAAAGGGCGAGUAGGCGGAUCGGCAAGUCAGAUGUGAAAUGCCGGGGCUCAACCCCGGAACUGCAUUUGAAACUGUUGACCUUGAGUGAUGGAGAGGCAGGCGGAAUUCCCAGUGUAGCGGUGAAAUGCGUAGGUAUUAGGAGGAACACCAGAGGCGAAGGCGGCUUACUGGACUGUAACUGACGUUGAGGCUCGAAGGCGUGGGGAGCAAACAGGAUUAGAUACCCUGGUA